AAUUUAUUGUAUAAUUCGUUCGAAAGGUUAACAAGGUAAAAACACUAUGAACAAAUUUUGGAAAAAUUUAUAAUCCCUAAAAUUACUCAUUCUCUCUCCUUCGUCUCUCUCUCUCUCUAUCUCCCGUUCCCUUCCUCCUCUCCAUCGUCUCUCUCUCUUCUUCUCCCUCUGUAAAACCUUAUAUCCCCAAUUCUGCCACCCCGGCCCCUUCCCCCUCUCCGGCGAAUGUUGGCUCGCAGGACCAACCUCGUCGUUAAUGACGCAUGUUCAAGGGCAGGUUCGUUAUUCUUAUUCUGACGAACGUCGACGAACCCUGGAUCAUUAUCUGCAAUCGCCGCUCACUCAAGUCUGCAAUCGACAAUCGAAUUAGGCGUUCAAUUGAUAAAUUCGACGAACAUAGGAAUUGUCGUUGGUUGAACUCCCUAGAUCCCCUGCUUUGUUUGAUAAGGAUGACAUUGUGGACAGGAAUGAGUACAAGUUCACUAUUAUAAACUUGAUUCUGUAAUUGAUAAGGAGCUUUCGUUGGUUGAAUUCCAUGGUUCUCCUGAUUUGGUUGAGAAGUUAACUGUUGAAAUGAUACACAAGUUGACGUUUUAUACAUUUCACAUGUAUCUCUAAGCAGUACCGCGCGGAGUCCAUGAAAGGCAUGGUAGUAGGUGUAGAUAAACUUUACCUCGGGUUUGUCGGCGACUAGCGGUGCCGGAGCAGUUGAUUUGAGCAGGGAAUAGUACCAAUAUUGGUGGGUGGAAAAUUCUUUAGGAAUGUAGGACUUGUGCAUGUGCAUGAUGUAUGUGGAUCUUUUGGAUGAAACAUCAUUUCACACAUACUAUGUCAUGUUGAACAUAGAAAUAUAGCCUGUUGAACAUUAUCAAAUGUAUUUUUGAACAUGUGUAAAUAGCUCGUUGAACAUAUGAAAUGCGUAUAUGAACAUGGAUACAUAGCCCAUUGAACACCAUCAAAGCUACAUGUAAUUCAGUUACCCAACAUAGGUUUAUAGUGUGAAUAUUUAUCUAUGAAUUGUAUAGAAUAUUUAUAAAGCAACAAUGUUUUUUUAUUAAA
This is a long non-coding RNA of Salvia miltiorrhiza (redroot sage), 1059 nucleotides long. RefSeq lists it as uncharacterized. The record is from RefSeq and is a predicted model, not a curated record. The transcript is spliced from 5 exons. Lineage: Eukaryota; Viridiplantae; Streptophyta; Magnoliopsida; Lamiales; Lamiaceae.